RNAcentral lists this ribosomal RNA (19 nucleotides) under Pleurotus cornucopiae (cornucopia mushroom). RNAcentral describes it as "partial 18S ribosomal RNA". RNAcentral also lists the same sequence under 2 other names. Lineage: Eukaryota; Fungi; Basidiomycota; Agaricomycetes; Agaricales; Pleurotaceae. The record is from RNAcentral.
ACCGGCGGAAGGAUCAUUA